UACGUAGGGGGCUAGCGUUGUCCGGAAUCACUGGGCGUAAAGGGUUCGCAGGCGGAAAUGCAAGUCAGAUGUAAAAGGCAGUAGCUUAACUACUGUAAGCAUUUGAAGCUGCAUAUCUUGAGAAGAGUAGAGGUAAGUGGAAUUUUUAGUGUAGCGGUGAAAUGCGUAGAUAUUAAAAAGAAUACCGGUGGCGAAGGCGACUUACUGGGCUCAUUCUGACGCUGAGGAACGAAAGCGUGGGUAGCAAACA
This 250-nucleotide ribosomal RNA is filed under the name uncultured Eubacteriales bacterium. RNAcentral's name for it is "uncultured Clostridiales bacterium partial 16S ribosomal RNA". It matches the Rfam family "Bacterial small subunit ribosomal RNA", at positions 524 to 774 of the family's 1533-position model. The record is from RNAcentral. Lineage: Bacteria; Bacillati; Bacillota; Clostridia; Eubacteriales.